AAAGGAAAAAAAAUGUAUAUCAUGAGAAGGAUCAUGAAGCACUUAUCUAGAAGUAUUAAGGUUGGCACAAAGCAUGCUCAAAGAGCAAUAAAAGAAAAUUUAUGAGCCAAUGAAUCUCAACAAGGACGAUGUCCAAAAGAAAUACCCCUGAUUUGUAGAUUGAACAACAGUUAUGAGGGUAACAACACGAACUCUGAGCCUGAACCCCUAUAUUUUCCAAUUUUUG
Molecule: long non-coding RNA, 226 nt
Filed under: Lathyrus oleraceus (garden pea)
Lineage: Eukaryota; Viridiplantae; Streptophyta; Magnoliopsida; Fabales; Fabaceae
Description: Pisum sativum (pea) long non-coding RNA (PSAT_LNC004971)
Source: RNAcentral